Molecule: ribosomal RNA, 1542 nt
Filed under: Salmonella enterica subsp. enterica serovar Rubislaw
Lineage: Bacteria; Pseudomonadati; Pseudomonadota; Gammaproteobacteria; Enterobacterales; Enterobacteriaceae
Also listed under: 17 other names
Description: bacterial SSU rRNA
Rfam family: Bacterial small subunit ribosomal RNA
Source: RNAcentral
AAAUUGAAGAGUUUGAUCAUGGCUCAGAUUGAACGCUGGCGGCAGGCCUAACACAUGCAAGUCGAACGGUAACAGGAAGCAGCUUGCUGCUUUGCUGACGAGUGGCGGACGGGUGAGUAAUGUCUGGGAAACUGCCUGAUGGAGGGGGAUAACUACUGGAAACGGUGGCUAAUACCGCAUAACGUCGCAAGACCAAAGAGGGGGACCUUCGGGCCUCUUGCCAUCAGAUGUGCCCAGAUGGGAUUAGCUUGUUGGUGAGGUAACGGCUCACCAAGGCGACGAUCCCUAGCUGGUCUGAGAGGAUGACCAGCCACACUGGAACUGAGACACGGUCCAGACUCCUACGGGAGGCAGCAGUGGGGAAUAUUGCACAAUGGGCGCAAGCCUGAUGCAGCCAUGCCGCGUGUAUGAAGAAGGCCUUCGGGUUGUAAAGUACUUUCAGCGGGGAGGAAGGUGUUGUGGUUAAUAACCACAGCAAUUGACGUUACCCGCAGAAGAAGCACCGGCUAACUCCGUGCCAGCAGCCGCGGUAAUACGGAGGGUGCAAGCGUUAAUCGGAAUUACUGGGCGUAAAGCGCACGCAGGCGGUCUGUCAAGUCGGAUGUGAAAUCCCCGGGCUCAACCUGGGAACUGCAUUCGAAACUGGCAGGCUUGAGUCUUGUAGAGGGGGGUAGAAUUCCAGGUGUAGCGGUGAAAUGCGUAGAGAUCUGGAGGAAUACCGGUGGCGAAGGCGGCCCCCUGGACAAAGACUGACGCUCAGGUGCGAAAGCGUGGGGAGCAAACAGGAUUAGAUACCCUGGUAGUCCACGCCGUAAACGAUGUCUACUUGGAGGUUGUGCCCUUGAGGCGUGGCUUCCGGAGCUAACGCGUUAAGUAGACCGCCUGGGGAGUACGGCCGCAAGGUUAAAACUCAAAUGAAUUGACGGGGGCCCGCACAAGCGGUGGAGCAUGUGGUUUAAUUCGAUGCAACGCGAAGAACCUUACCUGGUCUUGACAUCCACAGAACUUUCCAGAGAUGGAUUGGUGCCUUCGGGAACUGUGAGACAGGUGCUGCAUGGCUGUCGUCAGCUCGUGUUGUGAAAUGUUGGGUUAAGUCCCGCAACGAGCGCAACCCUUAUCCUUUGUUGCCAGCGGUCCGGCCGGGAACUCAAAGGAGACUGCCAGUGAUAAACUGGAGGAAGGUGGGGAUGACGUCAAGUCAUCAUGGCCCUUACGACCAGGGCUACACACGUGCUACAAUGGCGCAUACAAAGAGAAGCGACCUCGCGAGAGCAAGCGGACCUCAUAAAGUGCGUCGUAGUCCGGAUUGGAGUCUGCAACUCGACUCCAUGAAGUCGGAAUCGCUAGUAAUCGUGGAUCAGAAUGCCACGGUGAAUACGUUCCCGGGCCUUGUACACACCGCCCGUCACACCAUGGGAGUGGGUUGCAAAAGAAGUAGGUAGCUUAACCUUCGGGAGGGCGCUUACCACUUUGUGAUUCAUGACUGGGGUGAAGUCGUAACAAGGUAACCGUAGGGGAACCUGCGGUUGGAUCACCUCCUUA